RNAcentral lists this ribosomal RNA (571 nucleotides) under uncultured bacterium. Its description in RNAcentral is "bacterial SSU rRNA". It matches the Rfam family "Bacterial small subunit ribosomal RNA", at positions 335 to 916 of the family's 1533-position model. The record is from RNAcentral.
ACUCCUACGGGAGGCAGCAGUGGGGAAUAUUGGACAAUGGGCGGAAGCCUGAUCCAGCAACGCCGCGUGAGGGAUGACGGCCUUCGGGUUGUAAACCUCUUUCAGUACCGACGAAGCGCAAGUGACGGUAGGUACAAAAGAAGCACCGGCCAACUACGUGCCAGCAGCCGCGGUAAUACGUAGGGUGCGAGCGUUGUCCGGAAUUAUUGGGCGUAAAGGGCUCGUAGGCGGUUUGUCGCGUCGGGAGUGAAAACGCCGUGCUUAACACGGCGCUUGCUUUCGAUACGGGCAGACUAGAGGUAUGCAGGGGAGAACGGAAUUCCUGGUGUAGCGGUGAAAUGCGCAGAUAUCAGGAGGAACACCGGUGGCGAAGGCGGUUCUCUGGGCAUUACCUGACGCUGAGGAGCGAAAGUGUGGGGAGCGAACAGGAUUAGAUACCCUGGUAGUCCACACCGUAAACGUUGGGCGCUAGGUGUGGGGUCCAUUCCACGGAUUCCGUGCCGCAGCUAACGCAUUAAGCGCCCCGCCUGGGGAGUACGGCCGCAAGGCUAAAACUCAAAGGAAUUGACGG